RNAcentral lists this ribosomal RNA (510 nucleotides) under uncultured Ralstonia sp. RNAcentral describes it as "bacterial SSU rRNA". It matches the Rfam family "Bacterial small subunit ribosomal RNA", at positions 380 to 885 of the family's 1533-position model. Lineage: Bacteria; Pseudomonadati; Pseudomonadota; Betaproteobacteria; Burkholderiales; Burkholderiaceae. The record is from RNAcentral.
AGCCUGAUCCAGCAUGCCGCGUGUGUGAAGAAGGCCUUCGGGUUGUAAAGCACUUUUGUCCGGAAAGAAAUGGCUCUGGUUAAUACCUGGGGUCGAUGACGGUACCGGAAGAAUAAGGACCGGCUAACUACGUGCCAGCAGCCGCGGUAAUACAUAAGGUCCAAGCGUUAAUCGGAAUUACUGGGCGUAAAGCGUGCGCAGGCGGUUGUGCAACACCGAUGUGAAAUCCCCGAACUUAACUUGGGAAUUGCAUUGGUGACUGCACGGCUAUAGUGUGUCAAACGGGGGUAGAAUUCCACAUGUAACAGUGAAAUGCGUAGAGAUGUGGAGGAAUACCGAUGGCGAAGGCUCCCCCUGGGAUAACACUGACGCUCAUGCACGAAAGCGUGGGGAGCAAACAGGAUUAGAUACCCUGGUAGUCCACGCCCUAAACGAUGUCAACUAGUUGUUGGGGAUUCAUUUCCUUAGUAACGUACCUAACGCGUGAAGUUGACCGCCUGGGGAGUACGG